ACUCCUACGGGAGGCAGCAGUAGGGAAUCUUCCACAAUGGGCGAAAGCCUGAUGGAGCAACGCCGCGUGGGUGACGAAGGUCUUCGGAUCGUAAAACCCUGUUGUUAGAGAAGAAAGUGCGUGAGAGUAACUGUUCACGUUUCGACGGUAUCUAACCAGAAAGCCACGGCUAACUACGUGCCAGCAGCCGCGGUAAUACGUAGGUGGCAAGCGUUAUCCGGAUUUAUUGGGCGUAAAGGGAACGCAGGCGGUCUUUUAAGUCUGAUGUGAAAGCCUUCGGCUUAACCGGAGUAGUGCAUUGGAAACUGGGAGACUUGAGUGCAGAAGAGGAGAGUGGAACUCCAUGUGUAGCGGUGAAAUGCGUAGAUAUAUGGAAGAACACCAGUGGCGAAAGCGGCUCUCUGGUCUGUAACUGACGCUGAGGUUCGAAAGCGUGGGUAGCAAACAGGAUUAGAUACCCUGGUAGGAUAGCG
RNAcentral lists this ribosomal RNA (473 nucleotides) under uncultured bacterium. Its description in RNAcentral is "bacterial SSU rRNA". It matches the Rfam family "Bacterial small subunit ribosomal RNA", at positions 335 to 799 of the family's 1533-position model. The record is from RNAcentral.